RNAcentral lists this transfer RNA (76 nucleotides) under Rickettsiales bacterium. RNAcentral's name for it is "tRNA-Trp". It matches the Rfam family "tRNA". Rfam says of the family: Transfer RNA (tRNA) molecules are approximately 80 nucleotides in length. The record is from RNAcentral. Lineage: Bacteria; Pseudomonadati; Pseudomonadota; Alphaproteobacteria; Rickettsiales.
AGGAGUGUAGCUCAAUUGGUAGAGCACCGGUCUCCAAAACCGGGUGUUGGGGGUUCGACUCCUCUCACUCCUGCCA